GGGCUCAUAGCUCAGUUGGUUAGAGCACUGUGCUGAUAACGCAGGGGUCCCCUGUUCGAGUCAGGGUGAGCCCACCA
This 77-nucleotide transfer RNA is filed under the name Candidatus Omnitrophota bacterium. Its description in RNAcentral is "tRNA-Ile". It matches the Rfam family "tRNA". Rfam says of the family: Transfer RNA (tRNA) molecules are approximately 80 nucleotides in length. Their secondary structure includes four short double-helical elements and three loops (D, anti-codon, and T loops). Lineage: Bacteria; Pseudomonadati; Candidatus Omnitrophota. The record is from RNAcentral. RNAcentral also lists the same sequence under 2 other names.